CUCCUAAAUUUUUGAAUUUCUAAUUCACGGCAUGAGUAACUUCUAUAAGAGA
RNAcentral lists this transfer RNA (52 nucleotides) under Thaumamermis cosgrovei. RNAcentral describes it as "tRNA-Ser". The record is from RNAcentral. Lineage: Eukaryota; Metazoa; Nematoda; Enoplea; Mermithida; Mermithidae.